GGGGAAGUAGCUCAGUUGGGAGAGCGCAGCGUUCGCAAUGCUGAGGUCGGGAGUUCGAUCCUCCUCUUCUCCACCA
Molecule: transfer RNA, 76 nt
Filed under: Betaproteobacteria bacterium
Lineage: Bacteria; Pseudomonadati; Pseudomonadota; Betaproteobacteria
Also listed under: 1 other name
Description: tRNA-Ala
Rfam family: tRNA
About the family: Transfer RNA (tRNA) molecules are approximately 80 nucleotides in length. Their secondary structure includes four short double-helical elements and three loops (D, anti-codon, and T loops).
Source: RNAcentral